Molecule: unclassified non-coding RNA, 226 nt
Filed under: Hevea brasiliensis (rubber tree)
Lineage: Eukaryota; Viridiplantae; Streptophyta; Magnoliopsida; Malpighiales; Euphorbiaceae
Source: RNAcentral
CAACAACUACAGUCCGCUGAAACAGCAUGAAGUACAAGUUAAAUCAUGUAGUAACUGGUAGCCUACUUUAAUCUGAUAAUGACCAACGGUUAAGCCAUAAAAGAGUAAAAUAGACCAAACCCACUAUUUGGCACUAUAAGCCCAUAAAUCCGAGAAUAACAAUACGCAGAAAUUUUCUCUUUCGUGCGUGAAAUUUAACAAAGUGCAUAUCUUAACCCAGUCCGCA